Sinocyclocheilus anshuiensis is the source of this 44-nucleotide ribosomal RNA. Lineage: Eukaryota; Metazoa; Chordata; Actinopteri; Cypriniformes; Cyprinidae. The record is from Ensembl.
NCCUGGUUCGUACUUGGAUGGGAGACCUCCUGGGAAUACCAGGU